This 1604-nucleotide long non-coding RNA is filed under the name Homo sapiens (human). RNAcentral describes it as "HSALNT0393722". The record is from RNAcentral. Lineage: Eukaryota; Metazoa; Chordata; Mammalia; Primates; Hominidae.
ACACAUCUAACCACUCUUCAGCUGAUAUCCACUUGCUGACAAAUGAAUCUCUCUGGCCCCUGGACUGUGCCCUGAAACACAGCUUAAAACAGCAGAAUGAACAGUAAUCCCAGAGAUCCUGAGAUGAGAAAAGGGUGUUUGACUUAUUCAAAGAAGACCAAGGAAGCCCAAAGACCAGAGAAGAGUGCAGGAAAGGGGCGGCGGUCUGAGAUGCAGUCAGAGCAGUGGCAAGCCCCCAGAGUCUGUGGCAAAGACUUCAGGUUUCAUCCUGAAGAGGAAGACAGGUCUUUGGAGAGUUUUGAUCAAGGAAGUGAGAUGAAAUAUCUUAGGCUUACAAAGAACUACUCUGACAUCUAAAUGGAAAAUGGACUGAUGAAGCAAAAGAAGCCACAAGGAAGCCAGUUCAGAGGCUAUUGAAAUGCUCCAGAUACUCAGAGAGUGAGAGCCUUCAGAUUUGGGUGAGUGAUGCCAUUAGAACCAAGAUUUCUUCCAUUCUUCUGCUCUAUCAUUCUCAGCACAACAUGCUUUUCUCAUUAAGGCCGCUGUGGUUCGUCUUCUGCCUGGGAACUGGAUAAAAACAUCAGUGAAUACCCCAAAGAUUUUCAAAAAUGCUUGUUGAUAAAAUGAAGUCAGAAUGUGAGAUGAGCCCUUCCACCUGAGUGAUGUUGGUCUUGGCUGUGUGAUUUGCUUUGGCUGAUGAUAAGUUGAUGGAAGUGAUAGUAAGACAAUGCUGAGCCUCAUCCUCGGAAGUAUCUCUGCCUUCACCUGGCUUUGUGCACCACUGCCCUGGCUUUGAGAAGAACAUGAGCCCAGUAAAUUGUUAGUCCAGGAAGAAUGAGAGAGAAAGUCCUGAGGCAGAGAAGUGGAGAGAAGUUGCUGCUUGAGCUUGAGAAAGAAUGGUGGCAGAGUACAUGCAUGGAAGUGCUACCAUAGCUGCUCUGAAAUCAGAGGAAAGUGGAAUUAUAAGAAGACCCCAUCUGACAAGGCUCAUAAAGGAGAGCAACUCUUAUGGAAUACAUCCAAGAUAUAUACGUCUUUGAAGAAAGACAUCACUCAACUGUGAAAGAUCACCAUGACCCCUGCUUUAAUUUCAUCAAAAAACUUAGUCCAUCAGCUCAGUUACCCUUUAGCCUUGCAUGGGAAUUGACUCAGAGCUUCUGCAAGAUCAGGCCCUAUAUUAGGUAUUGAGGGUUCAGGGAUGAACUAAGCUGAUCUGGUUCCUGCUCUCUAGGCUGUAGAAGAUGGCAAGUGCUGUGGACUUCAAAGAAAAGAUUUCUGAAGUGUCAUGUUAUGACAAUUGUGGCUUGCAGGCUGGAGAUCCAGGAAAGACCUGAUGUUGCAGUUCAAGUCUCAGGGCCAAUUGCUGGAGAAUUCCCUCUUGCUCUGGGAAGGCCAGUCUUUGGUCUUUUCAGACUUUCAUCUGAUUGGAUGAGGCCCACGUACAAAAUGGAGAUAAAUCUGCUUUACUCAAAGGCCACUGAUUUAAAUGUCUGUUAACCAAGACAGCUGCUAAGUGACUCAUAGUCACCAGCAAAGGACUAAGAUGUUUUCACUCCUUAGAUCUUCCCUUGUGUCUGUUUAAGAAGAGGAAUCCUCACUUAUUU